CAGAGCGUAGCUAAAUUAGAAUAGCAUUUCCCUUACACCGAAAAGAUGCCCGUGCAAGUCGGGCCGGACUGA
RNAcentral lists this transfer RNA (72 nucleotides) under Gobiomorphus cotidianus (common bully). Its description in RNAcentral is "tRNA-Val". It matches the Rfam family "tRNA". Rfam says of the family: Transfer RNA (tRNA) molecules are approximately 80 nucleotides in length. Their secondary structure includes four short double-helical elements and three loops (D, anti-codon, and T loops). The record is from RNAcentral. Lineage: Eukaryota; Metazoa; Chordata; Actinopteri; Gobiiformes; Eleotridae.